ACUGCCCCUAGAGGCAUUAUAGGUAUGUGUGCUAUGUCACAUGUAGGUAGUAGAGAGACUAUGCCAGAAUUCUGACCUCUGAACACCUGAUGAUUAGUAGCCUAACAGA
This is a small nucleolar RNA of Rattus norvegicus (Norway rat), 109 nucleotides long. Ensembl annotates it as small nucleolar RNA SNORA17. Lineage: Eukaryota; Metazoa; Chordata; Mammalia; Rodentia; Muridae. The record is from Ensembl.